This 63-nucleotide transfer RNA is filed under the name Indotyphlops braminus (Brahminy blind snake). RNAcentral's name for it is "tRNA-Gly". The record is from RNAcentral. Lineage: Eukaryota; Metazoa; Chordata; Lepidosauria; Squamata; Typhlopidae.
UCCCCUUUAGUAUAUAAAAUACGCCUGCCUUCCAAGCAGGAAAAUCCAACUAUGGAAGAGGAU